AUGGGGCAUCCUCGGAGGGGUCGCAAGGAGCAAGCUCAGCUCCCGAAGGCACAUCCAUGGGAGCUGCCUCCUUCCCUGAGCUUCCAAGCGGCUCCAAGCCCAAACCAGCCCCUCGGCUCCUCCACUGCCUCCAGGAUGCUGCUCGGAGCCAGCCCAUCCUCAGGGAUGGAUCCUGCACCCACAUCCCAAUGGGGUCCCGGCCCUCCCAUUGCCACCAACAGCAUCGCUCCUGGACCUUGCGCUUCUUGCGGCAGUUGCACUGGCCCAUGGCUGCUCCGGCUCCUCACUGGUGCUGCUGGGCUGUCCUCUCCAAGGGAGCUGCAGGAGAGAGCCGGGCUCAGCAAUGGGAUUGGGAGGGAAGGUUCCCGUCCGUCAGCGCAGGGAUGGGAUGCGGGAGCUGCCGGGACACGUCCCAAUGGGAACGAGUCAUGGCAAAGCCAACGGGAGCAGGAUGGGUCUGCUGGGAACCCCCAUCCCCUGUGCUGGUGCCGGGUCACUCACCUGCUGCCGGGGCUGUGCUGCUGUGCGCGGGCUGUGGUGCGCAGGGGUUUUAUACUGGGAGGUGUGAGUGGGAGCUCCCGGCUGCGGUGUGGGGCAAGGCCUGAUCCCGAGCCUGGCCCUAAGCCAGCGUGGGGCUGGAACCGCCUCCUUCCAGCCACAGGGAUGGCUCCAAUAGGCAAGGAUGGGAUGGUUGGAGCCGCGUGGGAACAGCCGCCGGGUACCCCAUGGAGGGGGUUGGGGGGUCCCCAGCAAUGCCAGGGUCUGGGAGCUGGGUGCUGCCAAUGGAACCGGUUCGAGGGUUCCCAGCAAUGCCAGGGUCUGGGAGCUGGGUGCUGCCAAUGGAACUGGUUUGGGGUCCCCAGCAAUGCCAGGGUCUGGGAGCUGGGUGCUGCCAAUGGAAUCGGUUUGGGGGUCCCAACAAUGCCAGGGUCUGGGAGCUGGAUGCUGCCAAUGGAAUCGGUUUGGGGAUCCCCAGCAAUGCCAGGGUCUGGGUCCUGCCAAUGGAACUGGUUUGGGGUCCCCAGCAAUGCCAGGGUCUGGGAGCUGGAUGCUGCCAAUGGAACCGGUUUGGGGGUCCCAACAAUGCCAGGGUCUGGGAGCUGGAUGCUGCCAAUGGAAUCGGUUUGGGGAUCCCCAGCAAUGCCAGGGUCUGGGUCCUGCCAAUGGAACUGGUUUGGGGUCCCCAGCAAUGCCAGGGUCUGGGAGCUGGGUCCUGCCAAUGGAACUGGUUUGGGGGUCCCAACAAUGCCAGGGUCUGGGAGCUGGAUGCUGCCAAUGGCAGCUCAGUUUGGGGCAUUGGGAGAUGCUGCUCCCACCAAUGCUACCCAAGGGGAUGAGCACUGA
This 1344-nucleotide long non-coding RNA is filed under the name Melopsittacus undulatus (budgerigar). Its description in RNAcentral is "lncRNA (ENSMUNG00000017408.1)". Lineage: Eukaryota; Metazoa; Chordata; Aves; Psittaciformes; Psittaculidae. The record is from RNAcentral.